RNAcentral lists this ribosomal RNA (301 nucleotides) under uncultured bacterium. Its description in RNAcentral is "partial 16S ribosomal RNA". It matches the Rfam family "Bacterial small subunit ribosomal RNA", at positions 509 to 807 of the family's 1533-position model. The record is from RNAcentral.
CAGUCGCCGCGGUAAUACGAAGGGUGCAAGCGUUAAUCGGAAUUACUGGGCGUAAAGCGUGCGUAGGCGGUGAGUUAAGUCUGCUGUGAAAUCCCCGGGCUCAACCUGGGAAUGGCAGUGGAUACUGGCUCGCUAGAGUGUGUCAGAGGAUGGUGGAAUUCCCGGUGUGGCGGUGAAAUGCGUAGAGAUCGGGAGGAACAUCAGUGGCGAAGGCGGCCAUCUGGGACAACACUGACGCUGAGGCACGAAAGCGUGGGGAGCAAACAGGAUUAGAGACCCGGGUAGUCCCUGUCUCUUAUAC